CUAAGGCGGAACGGCGAAAGACUGAGCCACCGAGGCGCCCCCUAAGAGUCUUCUUGAUCACUGCCGCCCCCACCCGCACAAGAAUUAAGAAUAUAAAAAGCUGAACACAAAAUAUAAAAUUUCUGAUUUAACUUUCAAAGAUGAAGAAAAUAUGAAAAGCUCUCCAGUAAAGUAGAAAUUACGUUAAUUUCACCAAAAUUCUCCGUACAUUAGCGAUAGUCUAUUAUUCAUUGGGCAUAAGUUCUUCCUGUUUGCUGCAGUAAGAAAAAUUGAAGGCUCAAGAAAAGUCCUGUAAAAAUACCCAAGCUGCAUCAAAAUUAGGGCUUUCUGGCCAUCCAAGUGCCCGGUGGUUCAACAAAACUUCGUCCAGCACUGAAUGAAGGUCCUGUCCCCGUGCUGUAAUAAAGACACACCUUUUUGCACUGUAAAA
Non-coding RNA from Leptonychotes weddellii (Weddell seal), 430 nucleotides. The record is from RefSeq and is a predicted model, not a curated record. Lineage: Eukaryota; Metazoa; Chordata; Mammalia; Carnivora; Phocidae.